UCCUGAGGCGGACUUCGCACGGUGCAGAACUGCGGAGGAGAGUAAGGUGCAUGGGCUUCUUUGAAGAAAGAAAGUGUUGUGAGGACACAACAUUUGUCCUCCCUUUCGCCUUCCACCACGUGAGGACACAGCAAGAAGGCCCUCACCAGAUGCCAGAUUCUAGCACCUUGAUCUUGGACUUCCCAGACUCCAGAACUUUCCUUCUAGGUACAGGUGCUACUCUGUGUUAAGCUCCACCAUCUUUGCUCAACUUCUUUCUGAGGCAACUUCGUGUCCAAGUAUCCCCAGAAUCCCCAGAGCAAGCUGUAUGAUUGCAGAUGCUUCUCAUCCACCUGGAAGAACAAAAGGAAGAACUCCUAUCACUAGAGAUCUACAAAAGAAGAGAUGAAAUGAAAGUAGAUGUGGACGUAGCAGAGGAUCAUUCAAGACCUUCCCUGGGAUGAGUAAAGCAAUUCUCUUCACUUCAGAG
Molecule: long non-coding RNA, 469 nt
Organism: Cynocephalus volans (Philippine flying lemur)
Lineage: Eukaryota; Metazoa; Chordata; Mammalia; Dermoptera; Cynocephalidae
Exons: 5
Source: RefSeq, a predicted model, not a curated record